UACGUAGGCGGAAAAUUAAGUCAGUAGUGAAAUCCUGCAGCUUAACUGUAGAACUGUUAUUGAUACUGGUUUUCUUGAAUAUAGUUGAGGUAGGCGGAAUGUGUAAUGUAGCGGUGAAAUGCUUAGAUAUUACGCAGAACACCGAUUGCGAAGGCAGCUUACUAAGCUAUGAUUGACGCUGAGGUACGAAAGCGUGGGGAGCGAACAGGAUUAGAUACCCUGGUAGUCC
This 229-nucleotide ribosomal RNA is filed under the name uncultured bacterium. Its description in RNAcentral is "partial 16S ribosomal RNA". It matches the Rfam family "Bacterial small subunit ribosomal RNA", at positions 568 to 796 of the family's 1533-position model. The record is from RNAcentral.